GUCAACCCAAAUCAGAACUCAAAAAUUAUUCAAGAUGUUUUCUUACCAUCCAUUCUCUAUAAACAGGUGAUAGAGGGGAAAAUAAUUCAAAUUUGAUAUGUGACUCCUAUGCACAAACCUCAAUGUUCCUGCUAACUUACAGUAUUAAAUCUAAGCUCAUCCCAAAUCAUACAACAAUUUGAAUAUUUUGAUCCGAGCUACACCACAGUUUCAGACCACAUCAAACUCUGCUCUAGCCACAGUGACCUUCAGCAUGCUGCGAAGGUUUUCCAGAAAAGAAAAUGGGGAUGCCAAUAUCUAUCACUCCCUGAUGGGGAUGCUAGAGAGACAGCAAUUCCAUGAUUGGAAUUUCCAGAAAAGAAAAUGGGGGAAUGAAGGAACCGGCUUCCCUUUUGGCAGCCAUAAUGGUUGAACAUGUGCCUUUAUGACCUUGUCCUAGAAACCAGAAAGUCAGAUGCCUGUCUUGUGACAAGGAACCAAUCAGAAGUUAGCUGGUGGCGCUAUGCUUUAUGGCUCUGGGUGUGCUUUACGGACAAGCGCACAGCAAUGACGUAGAGAGCAUAGCAACCACCCUGGGAGGGCCUAUGAGCCAUAACAACCAGUUGACCAAUCAACACAGGGCAAGCCCUCCAAGCCUGGAAGCACACCAAUCCUGAGCCUGUGCGUACCCCUAGACACUCCCCUUACGCUGCCCUAUAAGAUCUUUGGGGAGACCUUAGGAGCCGUCUUUUCUAGCCGUCAGCCAUGGCGGGUGGGUGAAAGACCCGAGCUAACAUGGGGUUAGUUCGUUAAAUUACAAUAAAGCCUCGUGCAGUUUGCAGCAAGCUCUCGAAUCCGCCUGGUGAUUGGGGUGACCGCG
Molecule: long non-coding RNA, 859 nt
Filed under: Cricetulus griseus (Chinese hamster)
Lineage: Eukaryota; Metazoa; Chordata; Mammalia; Rodentia; Cricetidae
Description: lncRNA (ENSCGRG00015032151.1)
Source: RNAcentral